GACGAACGCUGGCGGCGUGCUUAACACAUGCAAGUCGAACGGAAAGGCCCUGCUUUUGUGGUGUGCUCGAGUGGCGAACGGGUGAGUAACACGUGAGUAACCUGCCCUUGUCUUUCGGAUAACUUCAGGAAACUGGGGCUAAUCCCGGAUAGGAGCUCCUGCUGCAUGGUGGGGGUUGGAAAGUUUCGGCGGUUGGGGAUGGACUCGCGGCUUAUCAGCUUGUUGGUGGGGUAGUGGCUUACCAAGGCUUUGACGGGUAGCCGGCCUGAGAGGGUGACCGGCCACAUUGGGACUGAGAUACGGCCCAGACUCCUACGGGAGGCAGCAGUGGGGAAUAUUGCACAAUGGGCGGAAGCCUGAUGCAGCAACGCCGCGUGCGGGAUGACGGCCUUCGGGGUGUAAACCGCUUUCGCCUGUGACGAAGCGGGAGUGACGGUAAUGGGUAAAGAAGCACCGGCUAACUACGUG
This 468-nucleotide ribosomal RNA is filed under the name uncultured bacterium. RNAcentral's name for it is "partial 16S ribosomal RNA". It matches the Rfam family "Bacterial small subunit ribosomal RNA", at positions 28 to 507 of the family's 1533-position model. The record is from RNAcentral.